Non-coding RNA from Mycena vulgaris, 104 nucleotides. The record is from the annotation of a GenBank genome assembly. Lineage: Eukaryota; Fungi; Basidiomycota; Agaricomycetes; Agaricales; Mycenaceae.
GGGUGCCUGGCGCAAUGGCUAGCGUGUUUGGCUUCGAUGCUGACGUAAGCGUAUUACGUAGAAUAUGUACCAAAAGGUUGCAGGUUCGAGUCCUGCGGUGCUCA